RNAcentral lists this long non-coding RNA (2877 nucleotides) under Salvia miltiorrhiza (redroot sage). RNAcentral describes it as "long non-coding RNA (SMIL_LNC005690)". The record is from RNAcentral. Lineage: Eukaryota; Viridiplantae; Streptophyta; Magnoliopsida; Lamiales; Lamiaceae.
UUUAAUUCCUUUGAUUUCAAGAGGCACUCCAAUUAUACAAGAGGUUAUCCAAUAACGCCACUGCUUGGAGAUUGCUCGACGUGCCGCGACGUCUCAUCUCUCCUGACAAAGCGGAAGCUGCCGUUGCUCUGGUUCGAUGAUGCUGCGUCUUUCUUGGCUGGGAAUCGACGCGCCACCGUUGCUCCCUCCCCGGUUCUCUCUCUUUACAACCCAAGGGAGGGUGGGGUCUUCUUCUAGGCUGAGCCCUAGCUGCACUUCCUCGUUAAUCGCCAUCGCCGUGUUCUGGAUUCUAGCAGCGAAGGUUACGCCGCUGCUAUUCCUGGCAAUUCCCACCUUCUCGUCGCUCGGCGUCGAUCCACAGCUCACACCGAUGGAACAGGGACCGCUGCCUUUCCUUAAUUACCUAAAAGCUAAGCCCUUUUCCUAUUUUCCUAUUUCUCUUCUAUGGGGUAAAUUCGAAUGAUGUUGUGGUGUACUAGUUAACCCUAUUGGAGUUGUGGUUCUCCUUGCUUGUUCAUAAGUGAUAUGAAACAUAGGGUUGCCAAUUUCUUUAACAAAGUUUGCAUAUCCGAAUUUCCUAUAAAUGAAGCUGUGUAUUUAAGAGUUUUGUAUAGAUAAUAUGGAUACAUUAAGUACAGAUCCUCUGCAUUUCUAUGCGACUGGGCAUGCAUUAAGAAGUGUGGUAAUCAUAGUCUGUUGAUUUUAUAGGAAGUAAAUCGAUUAUGCUAUUUAUCUCUUUAUCCAGCAUUUCUAUAUAACUGAUCUUGUGUUCUGUUGGGUAUAUGAAGACGAUGUAUUUGGGUAUUUAUUCACAAGAAAACAUGAUUCCCUAAUAGUUUAGUUUAAGUGAAUUUGGGAGUUCUUGGAAUAAGCUAGCUACAUGUUUGAUGCUUGUGUAAUUGUACUCCUUGAAUUGUAAAAUGAGAUUAUAUGACAAUAGUUGGAGGAUAUCAAGCAUGCUACUAUAUGUUGAUGUGUUGAACAUGAAUUACGUUUAAGCUAAAGCAUGCUAAUGUGUAGUAAGAUGAUGUAUUUGAGUUACUAUAGCUUUUAUUUGAUAAAAAUAUGAGUUAUAUGUUAAGUUGAGAUGAAGAGGCAUUGCUGUCAGUUUUGCUGACAGGACAGUACCUUGCAAGGUACUUUUGAUGAUGUUCCGUAAUCCAAAUAACUUGAAAUUUUACUGUAAUAACUUCAUCAUGUGUAGUCGUUCUCUGCAAAAUUUCAGCUAAAUCCGAGACCAAUAGACAUGUCAAACUAUUUUCUGAAAUGUACUGCACGGAGCAGCAGAGUUCAGUGCAGAUUCUGUCUUUGGUCAUAUAACUUCUUAUCCACUUGAGAUAUUGAGUUUUUGUAAAUUUCUGAGAAAUAUAGACAUUAAUAGCUUUCUAAAAAGGUAAAACUCGUAUUUUUCCUUGAAGUGAUUGAUUUUAUAUGAUUUUCCAAAGUUAGGAUUCAAAUGUGUAUGUGUCUUGAUUAAACUUGUGAUUGGUAGUUAAUUGAGAUCCUACACUACUAAACUUGAAUUAAGGUUUUAUUGUUCUAAUUACCUAUUGAGGAUUAUUGAUUACUAAAGCUUGUUAAUAUGAUAGUGAUGGACAUAAUUAUGUUUAUAUGAUUAAUUACUUUGGAAUUUUGUGUUUUACAUGUAUGGUUAGUUGUAAACUGAUCUCUAUGGAAUGGAUUUGUUUACUUCUAAACUUUCUCAAGCAGAGGAAUUCUUAUAAGAUAGGAAUAUUAGUUUAUACGUUCUUAAAGUUCAUAGAGUCAGUAUAUUGAUUAGUUUAGUUGAUGCAACCUUAGCAGUUUAUUGGGAUGCUAUUUAUAGCUAAUUCUUCUUAUCUAGUUAUCCAAUCUUAUUUUAGAAUCUUGCUAUUAUGAAGGUGACAGUAGCAAUGAUAGAUAAGUGAGCAAGAGUUUCUACAUCGUUAAGCGUAUCAGGUGGGCUUUCUAAACUCAUAAUUUGAAGUGCGCACUAUUUAAUUAUGUUAUUAUAUGAAUGAAGUUAUAUUAAAGUUAUUGACUUGCCAAAUUAUUUUAAGAGCUUGUAUGUUACCAUCUACGAGAGAUAGACGAUAUCGGCCCUAUGCUGAAGCGAGAUGUCAGUAAGGGUUUGUGCACAUAGUUGUGACCGUGAGUCAUCGAGCGGGUUGGCCGGUCACUGUGAUCGGGAGCCUUCGGGCCGAUCACUGUGUUUGAGAAGGAGGCCUACUUCUCAACACAAGGUUACAUGAUGCGUAGUUAUGGUACAUACAUGUUAAUUGUCUGCAGACGUAUAUGAUGUAUGAUGAUAUAUAUAUAUAUAGAAGUUUUACAGUUUUGGCGUGCACAGGUUAUUUAAUAAAAUUCCUGUGUGAUGCUUGAGAUGGCAAGUUCAAUAUAUAGCUCUAAGAGCAAACUUUAAAGUUAUUUCGGCAUGUGACCAUUGAGUACCUUUUUAGUACUCAGCCCUGCAUAUGUUUUCUAAAUAUGCAGGUUAAGCUGUGAUGCAGAUGGAGGCGAGCAGAGCAAAGCUUUUGAAGUAUAAGUAUUAAAUUAGGCUCAGGAUUCCAUGUCUUCAUACAUGUAAUCCAUUUAAGUAUUUCCGCUGCAACACUUAGUGUAUUUUACUUUAUUGAUGUGUUGUACAGAUUUUAAAUCAAUAGCUUGACAAUUAUGUCACUUGAAAAUUUGACAACUUGUCGUUAUGUAUUGUGAGUUGUCUGCUUUGAGUUUUAGAAAAGAUUGUUUAUAUUUACCAAAUAUUUUGGUAAAUUAUUGUUUAAGCAGGUUAGUGGUUUUUAUUGAGAUUUAUUUUCUUUUUCAUUUUAUUACUCCCUUUCCCAGUCACACCUUUCCCCGGCUUAACUAUACACUAGCUUAGGUCGGGCUGUGACAAAG